RNAcentral lists this long non-coding RNA (1479 nucleotides) under Gouania willdenowi (blunt-snouted clingfish). RNAcentral describes it as "lncRNA (ENSGWIG00000022957.1)". Lineage: Eukaryota; Metazoa; Chordata; Actinopteri; Blenniiformes; Gobiesocidae. The record is from RNAcentral.
AAAAUAACGGUGCUGCUUUGCUUUAAUGCUGGCUUUAUAGCAGCCAGACAUCUCAUCUGUUUGUCUCUUUGUCCUCUGGUUUUACAAUUACAUUAACGGAGGAAGUGGCCCUGCCUUCUGUGGGCGGUUCAUUAGUUUAUUACAGUUUAUUAUGCUGUUGACUUCUGGUCAAACACAGCAGAAAUAAAGCCCAGCUGAGACAUGGCAGCAGAAACAGAGAGUAGCCCGAAAACUGUUCUUACGAAGCCUGACAGCCUGGUGUGGAGUUCAACAGCUGUAGUGACAUUUCAUCUGAUCUUCUGUGUGCUGGUGAUCGCAUUAACUGCAACAGGACUCAUCUUGAAUGACCGGAACCUUGAGUGCGAGGCCAGCGUUGAGUUUGCCUCCUGGCAGAAGCUCCAGAUCACACUGGUGUCCUCAUGGGCUGGGUUGAUAUUUCUCGCUUGCAUUUUGGUGCUGCUUGAGUGUUGGCGAAGGAACGGCCACACCAUAAAAAUGAUCGCAGGUGUGACCUGCGUGCUCACAGUCAUCAUGGUUUCUUCUUUGAUUUACCUCCAUAAAGCAGAGACUAAGGAGAUUCAACAUUUCAGAGAGCGAUACUUGACUUUCCUUCCUCACAUGAGAAGAACAAAAUACGUGAGAAACGCCACCUGCAGCCUCCUAACCAAUGUCUACAGCUGGCAGACACAGUUCCAGUGUUGCGGUCUUGAAAGCCACCAGGACUGGAAUUCAUUCAUUCCAGACUCCUGUUUGUGUAACCGAGGGAGGAGCGAAUCUGGAUGUGUUGAAUUUAAACACAGCCUGGUUUAUGAAAAGCCUUGUCUCCCCACAGUUAUAGAUCUCCUCAAAACACACAACUACCCAUUUUGGAUCAUCAUGAUAGUUUGGGUUAGCAUCGUGAGUUCCCCUCUGGCUAUCACCUGUCUGACUCUCGCAGGGCUAAUAAUUUGGAGUUUUUUUUUCUGUAUGUCCUGGUUAAUGGAAGACCAGAUUGUUUGGUGCAAGACUUGUUGGAGAAAGAAAAGAGUUCCCGUGGUUUUCAUCAGAAAGGAAAAUAACAACCAAGCAUUGAGCAGGAAGCAGAGCAGCAGAGAUGCUUCAGGAGAACACACAAAUACUGAGCAGGAGGAGGAGGAACAGAACACAGAGGACAAACCUGGUGUCAACCCGGUGAAGAUGAUUACUCUGCCACAGCUGAGUAGGCUACAGGAGGGGCUGGACCCACCUCCGGUCCUACACAGGGUACAGAACGGGCCCUGCAUGUGUAUUCUCCCCCCAUCCACCAAAAUCAAAGACUUCUACACAGUCUGGAUCGAGGAGGGAUCCCCAUUACUGCCUGGAGACGCCAUCUUAGUUGAUGCUCACAUUCCUAUGAAAAAUUGUUUCUGGGAUAAAGGGCAUCGUUAUUAUGACGUCAACGACAUCGUUUGGCCAAAAGAGCCAGAAAAAUCUGAGAAAUCUGAAAAAUCUGAAGUUUGA